This 2456-nucleotide long non-coding RNA is filed under the name Crocodylus porosus (Australian saltwater crocodile). Its description in RNAcentral is "lncRNA (ENSCPRG00005015415.1)". The record is from RNAcentral. Lineage: Eukaryota; Metazoa; Chordata; Crocodylia; Crocodylidae.
CAGACGGCUCUGCCCGUGACGGUUGUGAACAGGUAACGGUCUCAGGUACCCAGGCAUAUUUAAACAUUAACGCUGCGGUCUGGUGUUGGGGAGUUCAAAAACUGGGUCAUCGAAGAGAGGAAAGCGUGGAAACUACAGCGUUCACCCCAGGGUUUGGCUAGCAACACGCUUCCACUUGAGGGUUUGCGGUCAGCCCCUCUGCUGCCUGCCCUAAUCCUUCAUGGUGUCGGAGAGUUGGAUGCUUCAUCAGAAGUGGAGAUUUCAUCCUAGCAGUGGAGCCGGUGCCCUGCUCCCCGCGGGGGAGCCCGUUGCCUGCGUAAGGAAGCAGUGCGGGCCGCGGCUGCAAAGCCCAGUUUGCAAAGCAGGGGAGCAGCACAACGCAGGUUUUUAUUUUCACUGGUUUUAAAGGGAGGCUGCUCCGCGCAGGAUGACCCCUAGGUGGUGCCUGGAUGCUGCAGAUGCGGCGCCCGCGCGGCCAGGGGAAGGGCGUGCGAGGGAGGGAUCCAUCUUUGUCCAGCACCGCAGCACCCAGCGAGGCGGGGAGGCAGCGCCUGAUGCCCCAUGGGCCGCGUCCAAAUGGCUGGAAAAGCUGCGAGCUGGGAACACGCACGAAACCAGAUGACUUCACCCUGGAAAGCGCACGGUGCCUGAGCCUGGCCGUCGCAGCUGGGCAGCGCCAGCGGUGGGCGGCACCUGGCCCGCGCUGGGCAUGUUCCUUGUCCCUGUGCACAUGCAAGUUCAGAUGGCUGCGUGCAGGAGACGCGCAGAAGCCGGCAGCUCGCGACGCAGAGACCCAAGCGCUCGGCAGAGAGACGGACGUGGCUGGAUGGGUCCUGGCAUGCGCAGCUCCGGGCUCGCCUGCGCCAGGUCAUCGCGGAGGCAUGCAGCAAGGCCAGUGGAGCAGGAGGAGGCUCUACUUCCAAAGGAGGAGCAGAGCAGACUAACCCCAUCCGCGCUGCGGGGGUGGCUUGGCCUGGGCUGCGGUGGCGCUCGGCGAGAGGCAGGAACGCUGCCCGCAACCCGCUCUGCACCGAUGGAAGAGUCUCGGCGCGGCAGGGCCAACUCCCUGGUCAGAGCGGGUGCCUCUGGAUGGCACCAAGGGAGAUGGAGGCUGUCCCACAUCCAGUUUGCACCCAGGCAGCCUGGAAGAGGGGGUCUUCAAUCUGCCUGGGAGGCCCCAUGUCAGGGAGCUGGGCCCUCUCAGGGUAGUGAGCGGUGCCCAGGCUGAAAGCAUGGGGCAGCUGCAACACGAGCGCUCGUGGCUUUGCAGCGGCCGCGUUUCCAGGUGCAGAGUGCUGGCCCCACUUGCAAGGGCUGUUUGGUGGCUGUGCGUUGGCCCCUGUGUGAGUGCGAGGGGCCACGAGGGCAUGGCACCUGCUUCCAGGCCUGAGCCCAGCCCUCGAUGUAUCCCAGGGCGCCUGGGGUCUGUCCGGGCAGGUCAGCUGUCUGCUGUGGCGCAGCAGGCUGGGGCCCUUCCUGCACUCACGAGACCCGAGGGGGCAAGACCCAGAAAGAAGGGAGCCAGUGACCUGCAUGUGGAGGGAUGCAGCUGGCUCUGCUGCGGACGGAGCAGAGAUGGAGCGCAUCUCUGCGCUCAAGAGCAUUUCAAGGCCUCGUCCAUCGCUGCUGUCAAAGGGAUGAAUGAAACCCAAAUGGACGUGAAGGUCGUGGGCAGGCGGCAGUAGGGCAUGGGCACUGCUGCCACGUACCAGCUCCCAGCCGGGUCCCCUCAGCCUUCCCUCCCGCGUGCCGGCUGGCGGGGAGCGGGGCGAGCCUGGCUGUAGCGAGCCGCAUCCUGCUCGGGCGGUCCCUGCCACGUCCUGUGGCGCGCGGCCCAGGCGGCCGUGCUAAUACGAGCGCUGGCACAAAUUCCAGCCUCCAUGAGCACGGUUAUUCUCGCUUCAGUAAGUCAGGCCUCUAGCUCAGCACGGGCAGAUUUCCUCCAGACGCCAUCCUCUGCCAAAGGCUGGCUAUUCGCGUGCCCACAGCAGAUGGCUGGUGCUGGUAUGAAGGCCCUGCCAGGCCAGUCUGCUCUUUGUUUCUACGGUGCGAUCCCACAUCACGUGUCGGGCCUCCCUGGCACUCUUCUCUGUGGCCCGGGGUAUUUAGGGAGGUCUUCCCCGCCGUCCCCGCGUGGCGCGGGGUCCUGAGCCUGGGCCGUGACUCGUGACUUGCCCCGGGGUGUUCCAGGAGCAGAAGCCAGUGUUGCCCCCCCCGGGCCUGCGCGUGGUGGAGCUGGGUCCAGUUCACAGAGCAAGACUGAUCCCCAUUUUGGCAAACUUGUAAUUAACUUAAAACAAAUGCCCGGGAAGUGCCGGCCCAUUAGCAGCCUCUGCUGCCUGAGACUCAUCCCUGCUAAUUACCCAGCGUGUCAGCCUGGGCCGCCUGCAGAUAGCGCAGCUCCCUAUUUGCAUUUAAAUUAAAAAACAUAUUUUAAAAAUAAAGGUUUCAUUAAG